Molecule: long non-coding RNA, 2387 nt
Organism: Gadus chalcogrammus (walleye pollock)
Lineage: Eukaryota; Metazoa; Chordata; Actinopteri; Gadiformes; Gadidae
Exons: 6
Source: RefSeq, a predicted model, not a curated record
CUAUUAGAAAUCCAUAUAUUUAUUGUUAAAAUACGUUCACAAAUAUAUCGUAAUUUCACAAAUAUUUGUCUGUUAUUUAAGGGAAUAAACCGUCAAAUUCAGCUUUAAUACUCUAAAAAAAGUAAAAAAUCAUUUAAAGUUACUAAGAAAUUAAAAGUAAAAUAACUAUUUAAUUAGUAAUGUUACUAUAAUUUCUUUGUUAAUUGAAAAUUUGUUAACCACAUAAACUAAAUGCUUUUCAUCUGUUUCCUUAACCUACCACUUUAAAGCAUUACAUUCUGCCAAUGUUUUGGAUGCAUGGUUACUUGACCCAGGUUAUGGAAACCUUUGAUAGAGUAUGGAUUAAUUUCAGUGAGGUUGAAUGUAAGUUUUUAAUCCAUGUAUGGUGACUUGACCAAGUUAUGGAUGCCUUGGAUAGAAAUGUUACUGUAAACAAACAAACUGUAUACAAAACGUUUGAUUUAUGUUUCUCAUCAAAACAUAUAUCAAUCAUGUAGAACUCUUACAGCUUUGAGGGAUGUUAAAUCUAUAAGUUUCAGUCAUUUUAAGAAGUAAGAAAUAAGUUAUGUUUUGUCUGGAACACUAUGAACGCGUCAUCAACCACGUGGUGAAGAAGAACGUUGCCAUUUUGUGUUGAAUGCGUGUGGACCUGGGGAGAUAUCUUUCAAGUUUUUUCUGUAGGUAUAGGUAAUUGGUGUUGAGACAGUUGGGUUGGGACGGGCUUCUGCUUCAAGCAUUGUUCCUAAGGCUCUUUAGAAAUGUGAUAUGGCAGUGUAAGGGGUGUUCCGUUGCAGUAGCUACAUCACCAUCAUUACAUGAUUCUUCAGCUGAUUGCCAGGAUGAGGAGUUUGUGGAAGAGGAAGUUUCUGUUGCACCCCUAGAUAAAUGCAGAAUUUAAGCGCAUUACCACCAUGUCCAAUGUCCAAUCCAGAUUUCUGACACAAACUUCUAAAGCUGUUCGAAAACGAGGAGGACACGAGGAGCCCCCAUGACUCAAGCAGAGGACGAAGCCGCCAUCAAAGAAUCGAUUGAGGACACCACGGUGGGAAUAUUUGUCGUGAAAAAUGAUGCAACCAAUUGGUCCAGAGGACGUGGGGAUUGUCCUGGAAGGCCUGCAGAUAAUGCAAGGACUUGACAACACUGCAUUAGCUGCUGCCAUAUUGUUUGGCCUAAUGUAUGUAUUGAACCUCAACUACCCUCCUGAGCUAAAGAACACGUUUGAAGUGCGCCAAAAAGUUGUGAUGGAGCUGGACGGCACCACGCUCUCAAAGAAAGCCCAAGUUCUCAAAAACAGACUAUGAGUGAGCUGUUGUCCUAACCCUGCUCAUUGACUUGAUUCUGGACUGUACACAUGCAACUUUGCGGUUCUUUGUUCUUGUUCUUGCAGUAUUUACAUACAGCAUGUCUACUGUAUUAUCAAAUGAAUGUUUUCUCUGGAGCUCAUGCGUUCCCAAAAUGUGACUCGGAUUUGCUGUUUUCUCUUAAAGUAAUAGAGCUGCUGAAUGAGCAGUUGCCAUGGACUAUGUUUGCUCUGUGAAUGCACUUGUCUUUUGACAUGCACUCAUGCAGCUUUAGUUUUUCCUGUAUUCUUUUGGCAGUAUUUAGAUUUUUGGAAGAAUUACAUUUUUCGUAGUAUUAAUGAUGUUUGUCUAGGUCUACUCAUUGUUUGUUGUGCGGUGAUUCAUUCAAAACACUGGCAGUACUUUUUUAUUUUAUUAUUUAAUUAGAAUUUUAUGCAAAGUAAAAAAAAACAUAAUGCAACCUAACAUGUUUUGGGAUUUCAGUGUUAAAAAUGUCUAGUGUUUUCCAAAAAUGUCCAAACUAUUGCUAUUUGAAGGUGGAGUCAGCGAUUAAGGGGAAUUCUUGUCGUCAAAAUCAGUGAAUAUCUCAUGAUGCACUACCUGUCCGUACUUAUGUGCUAUAAAUCCUUUGUUAGUUCUCAGCCUCUGUAAACCAAGGACCUAUGGACAUGCAAUUUGUAGGCAGGACAAGCACUCUCCAGAGUCAGCUCUAAGUUACACAUGCCUAACACUGGCUGUGCUAUUUUAUUUUAUUUUCAUUUUAAUCGAGCAAAGUAAUGGGAUUUCAGUGUUAAAUGUUGUAUUGGGAUUUCAAGCUUUGGGAUUUCAGUGUUAAAUGUAGUAUUUGAAAGAAAUGCAAUAGAAAGUUGGUUAUUUGUGCCUUAUUUAGUCUCAUACUUACUUGAGCAGUAAGUAUGAGACUAAACAUUUAGUCUCAUACUUUAAAAAAAUAUUUUUUACAUGUUUUGAAAGAUGAAUCACAUUAUUUUCUGUCCAUAUACUGUUAUAUUACAUCAAAUAUAAAUUAUUUUACAACCUUUUUCCAUUAAAAACCAGCUAAGAACAGCAAAUUUCUGUCUAUUUAAU